UACGUAGGGGGCAAGCGUUGUCCGGAUUUAUUGGGCGUAAAGAGCGUGUAGGCGGCCAUACAGGUCCGUUGUGAAAACUGGAGGCUUAACCUCCAGACGUCGAUGGAAACCGUAUGGCUAGAGUCCGGAAGAGGAGAGUGGAAUUCCUGGUGUAGCGGUGAAAUGCGCAGAUAUCGUUUGGAACGCCAAAGGUGAAAACAGACAGCUGGGAGUGUGCUGACGCUGAGACACGAAAGCCAGGGGAGCGAACGGG
This 253-nucleotide ribosomal RNA is filed under the name uncultured bacterium. RNAcentral's name for it is "partial 16S ribosomal RNA". It matches the Rfam family "Bacterial small subunit ribosomal RNA", at positions 524 to 776 of the family's 1533-position model. The record is from RNAcentral.